RNAcentral lists this ribosomal RNA (493 nucleotides) under Albifimbria verrucaria. RNAcentral describes it as "partial 28S ribosomal RNA". Lineage: Eukaryota; Fungi; Ascomycota; Sordariomycetes; Hypocreales; Stachybotryaceae. The record is from RNAcentral.
GUUGACCUCGGAUCAGGUAGGAAUACCCGCUGAACUUAAGCAUAUCAAUAAGCGGAGGAAGAAUACCCGCUGAACUUAACCAUAUCAAUAAGCGGAGGAAUAAUUGGUGUUUUCGGGGGGACCGCCGGGCCUUGGGGCGGGAACCGGAGGCGCGGGAGGCCCAACCCUAUGGGCUUGACCGGUUUACUCCUGGGAGGGGACGAUAAACAAACAAAUAAACAAUUAUCCCAUGGGAUCUUCUGGUUUCUGGGAUUUAUCAAAAAUCCCUGGAAAUGGUCAUCAAUAGAGGGGAAAUGGAGAACCUCUUGUGUCAGCUAUCUUUAAUGCCAAUGGGCCCCUCAUAGAUCAGGGACACAGACGGGUCAGAGUCUGUGACACUCCCGGCCCCCUGGCGGGGUGUUGGGGGAUACAGGCCACCCUUUCUGGCGAGCUGCAUGUUCCAAUAUCUAUAUGCCUCCUCAGGUAAUGCUCACUUGUGAAAAAUCAACAGAUC